AGCGUUACUGGAGUCUGGAAAUCCAACGCUGCCAAAAGAGCCACAAGAAUUGUACAGAAUGUGCAUGGACGAAGACAAAUUGGAUAAGAUUGGCGUCGAACCGCUUCUAAAACAUGUUCAAUAUAUGGGACUGCCGCAUGUGCCGUCGGCUGAAAAGCGUUUUUCAUGGCAGAAAGCGGUCGCGAAGGCGGAGAAAUUUCUGGGCGAAAGCAUUUUCUUCAUGUUAGAUGUCAUCCCACACCCAUUGAACAUUUCUAAUCACGUCAUCCAAGUUCGCCAGGGAAACUUCAAUAGCUUAUUUGGAGCUGAUUUUCCAGAUGACGAUCGUUUACAAGAUGUUGAAGAUUUCUUUACCAACUACAUUGAUCUGCUUGU
Long non-coding RNA from Cloeon dipterum, 375 nucleotides. RefSeq lists it as uncharacterized. The transcript has 3 exons. The record is from RefSeq and is a predicted model, not a curated record. Lineage: Eukaryota; Metazoa; Arthropoda; Insecta; Ephemeroptera; Baetidae.